Molecule: long non-coding RNA, 503 nt
Organism: Phascolarctos cinereus (koala)
Lineage: Eukaryota; Metazoa; Chordata; Mammalia; Diprotodontia; Phascolarctidae
Source: RefSeq, a predicted model, not a curated record
GGAAGGGAAGGAAAAGGAAGGGAAAGGAAGGGAAAGGAAGGGAAAGGAAGGGAAGAGCCAGAGCAGAGGCAGAGGGAAGUGGCAGGAAAUUGACCAGAAAGAAGAGAACUCUAGAUAUUCUCAGCUCCCAGAAGGAUCCUAAGGGCUUGGUCCCACAUCCCCUGCAGCUCUGGGGCUGGGGCUGGGAUUGGAAUUGGGGCUGGAAGACCGAGACCAGCCAUUGCGGAGAGUGAAUGGGAUGGAUUCAAAUUCCUCCCCUCCCCCCCAUUUCCUUCGAGAUCUCUACACCACAGUCUUGGGAAGAACUUCGAGGAACGCCUGGCUCCUGGGCCCACGGUGGGGGAGGGGCCAUUCCAGACUGGGCUUUUGGACCGUCCACCUCCUCCUGAAGCAAAUGCCUGAGAUCCAAUGGAAGUUGAGGAAACUGAGGGCAAGCCAUUCUUACUUCCCAAGUGUCCCCAGCCCCUUGGGCAGGCAGAAUCCAGAACACUAAAGAGUUCCAC